RNAcentral lists this ribosomal RNA (227 nucleotides) under uncultured bacterium. RNAcentral's name for it is "partial 16S ribosomal RNA". It matches the Rfam family "Bacterial small subunit ribosomal RNA", at positions 118 to 351 of the family's 1533-position model. The record is from RNAcentral.
UGGGUGACCUACCUCGAGGUGGGGGAUAACCCGGAGAAAUUCGGGCUAAUACCGCAUAACAUCGAAAGAUCAAAGAGGGGCGCAAGCCUCUCGCCGUGAGAGGGGCCCGCGUCUGAUUAGCUAGUUGGUGAGGUAACGGCUCACCAAGGCGACGAUCAGUAGCCGGCCUGAGAGGGCGAUCGGCCACACUGGAACUGAGACACGGUCCAGACUCCUACGGGAGGCAG